Molecule: regulatory RNA element, 104 nt
Organism: Bacillus sp. B-jedd
Lineage: Bacteria; Bacillati; Bacillota; Bacilli; Caryophanales; Bacillaceae
Rfam family: SAM riboswitch aptamer (S box leader)
About the family: The SAM riboswitch is found upstream of a number of genes which code for proteins involved in methionine or cysteine biosynthesis in Gram-positive bacteria. The SAM riboswitch acts at the level of transcription termination control. The predicted structure consists of a complex stem-loop region followed by a single stem loop terminator region.
Source: Rfam
UUCUUAUCGAGAGAGGUUGAGGGACUGGCCCUAUGACACCUCGGCAGCGGACUCCAUUGGAGCUCUGUGCCAAUUCCAGCAAGCGAAAGCUUGGGAGAUAAGAA